Long non-coding RNA from Sander lucioperca (pikeperch), 1173 nucleotides. RefSeq lists it as uncharacterized. NCBI's taxonomy places the organism in Eukaryota, Metazoa, Chordata, Actinopteri, Perciformes, Percidae. The record is from RefSeq and is a predicted model, not a curated record. The transcript has 2 exons.
UCUCCUUCCUUUUGCUCCUUCUGUCUCUCGAAGGGGAAACUUGAUGGCCAGUCCUUUGCCACGUCGAGCCUCCAGCUGCUCCACCUUGCUCGCUACCGGAGCAGCUUUUUUUGCUCAGGGAAGCUUCGGUAGACAAAUCCGAAAAAACGACUCAGAAGUCCCAUUUAAACACCAUCAGCCUGAUACGGCCUCAACGGCAGUGUUGAAUGAAAGGACGUCGGGGGAUGAAUUGGGGCUAGCCAGUCAAGAAGGAGACAAAACAAAUCAGCCAAGAAGAAUAAGAGACAUCGCUGAAGACAGCAAGAUGUGUAGAAGAGAGAGGAGAUUGUCAAGUCGCAGAGCUCCGUCUGGAAUGUUGCUUCUCACAGCGGGAAACAGGAGGGAAUGUCAUUGAAUCUGCCAAUCAGUGGCUAUCACCUCUGUCUAACCUCUCCUCAUCCUCCACCUCCUUCUUCACCUCUCUGCCGGCCCCUUCAUCUAUCGCUCACAUGCUGCUUCUCUUCCAGCCCGCACAAACAGCCUGGUCAGCACUUUGUAGCAGUCAGACUAUAAGAGCAGAAGGAGCUGGACUCAGGAGUCUCAUACUGGAAUCGCAGUGAGUAUAGUUUAGAGUGUGUGUGAAUGAAUCAUGACAGCAACUUCAUACUGAGAUUAUCUGUGUGUGCAUGAGUAAAUCCGUCUCCACAGCAUCCUUCAAUUGCCCAGCCCGCCUGCCCAGUGUUCAGACUACCUGUUCAGGAAGUAGUGGUUGUACAGUAGUCUGCACAUUGGUUAGGCUGGCCGGGGAAGCACGGGACGACUCAAAAGUGUCCUAAAGAGAGACACGAAAGAGAGCAAGAGCCCUCCAGAGGGCAUCCAGGAGGCACAAGCACAUUAGGAUGUGGUGACACGCAGCACCACCCCUAGUCCAUCUGGACAAGCCCGGGCACAAGCCUAAAUAAAGCACCCAAAGGCUCCACCACAGAGGCCUGGCUCUCGCCUAUCCUGGAUUUAUGAGUGACGGACACAUAAAUCCCAAAUUAUUUUUUAAAACUGUUUACAGAGACAUAAGGGUUUCAGUUUAUUUUCCUGUUUUUUUUGUAUUGUUUUAUUUGUCAUUUAACCAAGAGUGAAGUCUGAUAAAACUGUAAAGAAUUGUUUGAAAUAGUUCAAAUAAAGAUGCUUGGAUAUCUA